This is a non-coding RNA of Candidatus Thiomargarita nelsonii, 210 nucleotides long. The record is from Rfam. Lineage: Bacteria; Pseudomonadati; Pseudomonadota; Gammaproteobacteria; Thiotrichales; Thiotrichaceae.
GUCACUGUCCAUAAAUAACUCAUCGGUUUGAGUUAUUUUAAAGUGACCCGCCUAAGUUCUUUGAGAACGACGUUAGGGGCGAAAAUAUAGGCACCUUGGGAUGCUUCGGAAGUCUCAAGCUCUGCGGGGAGUCAUUAAACCGGUCUGAUGGAAAGGCCCGUGUGGCUUUCAGUCAAAACCGUCCUAUAACAUUGGCUAGGAGACCAUUAC